CCUACGGGUGGCAGCAGUGGGGAAUAUUGGGCAAUGGGCGCAAGCCUGACCCAGCAACGCCGCGUGAAGGAAGAAGGCUUUCGGGUUGUAAACUUCUUUUAAGAGGGAAGAGCAGAAGACGGUACCUCUUGAAUAAGCCACGGCUAACUACGUGCCAGCAGCCGGGGUAAUACGUAGGGGGCAAGCGUUAUCCGGAUUUACUGGGUGUAAAGGGAGCGUAGACGGCAAUACAAGUCGGAAGUGAAAUACCCGGGCUCAACCUGGGAACUGCUUUGGAAACUGUAUGGCUGGAGUGCUGGAGAGGUAAGCGGAAUUCCUAGUGUAGCGGUGAAAUGCGUAGAUAUUAGGAGGAACACCAGUGGCGAAGGCGGCUUACUGGACAGUAACUGACGUUGAGGCUCGAAAGCGUGGGGAGCAAACAGGAUUAGAUACCCGGGUAAUC
This 442-nucleotide ribosomal RNA is filed under the name uncultured bacterium. RNAcentral describes it as "partial 16S ribosomal RNA". It matches the Rfam family "Bacterial small subunit ribosomal RNA", at positions 338 to 795 of the family's 1533-position model. The record is from RNAcentral.